Molecule: long non-coding RNA, 821 nt
Organism: Mytilus californianus (California mussel)
Lineage: Eukaryota; Metazoa; Mollusca; Bivalvia; Mytilida; Mytilidae
Exons: 2
Source: RefSeq, a predicted model, not a curated record
UAUCUGUUACCUUUAAAAAUAUAUACACACAAUACUAUACUUUUAAGAAUUAUCUCGUCGUAACUUUUGAACAGACGGUCGGACAGUUUUGAGCUUAAUGUAUAAAAUAUAGAACUCGUCGAGAGGAACAUUUUAUACACAGUAGUUAUGCAGCAAACUCUUAUCGUUUUCUUAAUAUGUAAGCUUGAAAUUGCAGCGUAAAUUUUUUUUGCACUCAAUGACCUUUGACCUUGGGUGCAAAUUAAAGGUCACAUGAAUUAAAGAUUAUUGGUGAAGGUCCCAAGUCUCUACGACUUCCGGUUCUCGAAAUACAAUUUUUCACAAAUUGAGUAAUUUUUUUCAAGGGAAAUAACUCCUUUUAAAGAUUGAUAACAUACUAAUUAUUUAUGUUUAUUAACAUUGCCCUUUGUUCCUGUAGAUGCUGCUAUUUUCAAUUAGAUUCUAUCUCUUAUACUUUUUAAGAAAAAUGCAAAUAAAAGAAAUUGCUUCAAGGGGAUGCAACUCUCAAACGAGUCGAUUAAAUCCUACGCAGCCUAAUAUGGUAAUACAUCAUGAUAAGAUCUACCUAUAGUACAAAUAAGGUCAUGAUAUCUUUAAAAACAACGAGGGGGGACCAUGUUGAAAAACCCAAUAAAAGGGAGAUAACUUCCAAAGGGGAUGAUGAAAUCCUUAACAGAGUCAUCUGGUAAUACUUCACAAUGAGGUCUAUCGAUGGUUCAAAUUUGGUCUUGAUAGCUUUAAUAGAAACGAGGGGAGGGCAUGUCAAAAAAAAUGUUGGAAGAAAAAAAAAGAAAAAAAAAAAAGAAAAAGAAAAAGAAAAA